AGGUUACUUUGAAGACCGCCGCCCCU
RNAcentral lists this non-coding RNA (26 nucleotides) under Cricetulus griseus (Chinese hamster). Lineage: Eukaryota; Metazoa; Chordata; Mammalia; Rodentia; Cricetidae. The record is from RNAcentral.